AGUGAACGCUGGCGGUAGGCCUAACACAUGCAAGUCGAACGGCAGCACAGUAAGAGCUUGCUCUUACGGGUGGCGAGUGGCGGACGGGUGAGGAAUACAUCGGAAUCUACUUUUUCGUGGGGGAUAACGUAGGGAAACUGACGCUAAUACCGCAUACGACCUACGGGUGAAAGCAGGGGAUCUUCGGACCUUGCGCGAUUGAAUGAGCGGAUGUCGGAUUAGCUAGUUGGCGGGGUAAAGGCCCACCAAGGCGACGAUCCGUAGCUGGUCUGAGAGGAUGAUCAGCCACACUGGAACUGAGACACGGUCCAGACUCCUACGGGAGGCAGCAGUGGGGAAUAUUGGACAAUGGGCGCAAGCCUGAUCCAGCCAUACCGCGUGGGUGAAGAAGGCCUUCGGGUUGUAAAGCCCUUUUGUUGGGAAAGAAAAGCAGCAGGUUAAUACCCCGCUGUUCUGACGGUACCCAAAGAAUAAGCACCGGCUAACUUCGUG
RNAcentral lists this ribosomal RNA (492 nucleotides) under uncultured bacterium. RNAcentral's name for it is "partial 16S ribosomal RNA". It matches the Rfam family "Bacterial small subunit ribosomal RNA", at positions 29 to 507 of the family's 1533-position model. The record is from RNAcentral.